This 123-nucleotide transfer RNA is filed under the name Methanothrix sp. Its description in RNAcentral is "tRNA-Arg". It matches the Rfam family "tRNA". Rfam says of the family: Transfer RNA (tRNA) molecules are approximately 80 nucleotides in length. Their secondary structure includes four short double-helical elements and three loops (D, anti-codon, and T loops). Lineage: Archaea; Methanobacteriati; Methanobacteriota; Methanomicrobia; Methanotrichales; Methanotrichaceae. The record is from RNAcentral.
GGGCGUGUGGCCUAGCCAGGAGCACUGGCCGGUGGCCCUGUUCCCUAGAAGCUGUUCAGCUAGCAAGGAUAUGGCGGCAGCCUCCUAAGCUGUAAGCCGGGGGUUCGAAUCCCUCCACGCCCG